CAACUUUUAACAAUGGAUCUCUUGGCUCUGGCAUCGAUGAAGAACGCAGCGAAACGCGAUAUGUAAUGUGAAUUGCAGACUUUAGUGAAUCAUCGAAUCUUUGAACGCACAUUGCACCCCGUGGUAUUCCGCGGGGCAUACCUGUUCGAGCGUCAUUA
RNAcentral lists this ribosomal RNA (158 nucleotides) under Neobulgaria sp. 1 RJ2014. RNAcentral describes it as "5.8S ribosomal RNA". It matches the Rfam family "5.8S ribosomal RNA". From Rfam's summary of the family: 5.8S ribosomal RNA (5.8S rRNA) is a component of the large subunit of the eukaryotic ribosome. It is transcribed by RNA polymerase I as part of the 45S precursor that also contains 18S and 28S rRNA. The record is from RNAcentral. Lineage: Eukaryota; Fungi; Ascomycota; Leotiomycetes; Helotiales; Gelatinodiscaceae.